AGUGAACGCUGGCGGUAGGCCUAACACAUGCAAGUCGAACGGCAGCACAGUAAGAGCUUGCUCUUACGGGUGGCGAGUGGCGGACGGGUGAGGAAUACAUCGGAAUCUACUUUUUCGUGGGGGAUAACGUAGGGAAACUUACGCUAAUACCGCAUACGACCUACGGGUGAAAGCAGGGGAUCUUCGGACCUUGCGCGAUUGAAUGAGCCGAUGUCGGAUUAGCUAGUUGGCGGGGUAAAGGCCCACCCAGGCGACGAUCCGUAGCUGGUCUGAGAGGAUGAUCAGCCACACGGGAACUGAGACACGGUCCAGACUCCUACGGGAGGCAGCAGUGGGGAAUAUUGGACAAUGGGCGCAAGCCUGAUCCAGCCAUACCGCGUGAGUGAAGAAGGCCUUCGGGUUGUAAAGCCCUUUUGUUGGGAAAGAAAAGCAGCAGGUUAAUACCCCGCUGUUCUGACGGUACCCAAAGAAUAAGCACCGGCUAACUUCGUG
Molecule: ribosomal RNA, 492 nt
Filed under: uncultured bacterium
Lineage: Bacteria
Description: partial 16S ribosomal RNA
Rfam family: Bacterial small subunit ribosomal RNA
Source: RNAcentral